RNAcentral lists this long non-coding RNA (284 nucleotides) under Malus domestica (apple). Its description in RNAcentral is "long non-coding RNA (MDOM_LNC010882)". The record is from RNAcentral. Lineage: Eukaryota; Viridiplantae; Streptophyta; Magnoliopsida; Rosales; Rosaceae.
CCGCUUGGCGUACCUAGAAAAUAUAAUUAAAAAAAUUUUAGGAAAUUAAUUCACGAAAUUAAAUGUAAUAUAAUUAAACAUUUAAAAUAAACUGUAAAAACACUAACUUCGUCAUAGUAAUUGGCGCCGCUUUCAUGUCUACGUGCUGCUGCUAAUAGUGCUUGAUGCCAUUUAUUCAAACUUGGAUGAAGAUGUUUCUUCCAUCUUGAAGAACAACUUUCGUGGUUUCGGGUAUUCGGUGGAGUGGUGCUUUCGUAGAACUCUAAGUAUUUUUUGGACACACG